AAUGAACGCUGGCGGCAUGCCUAACACAUGCAAGUCGAACGAAGGCUUCGGCCUUAGUGGCGCACGGGUGCGUAACGCGUGGGAAUCUGCCCUUGGGUUCGGAAUAACAGUUAGAAAUGACUGCUAAUACCGGAUGAUGUCGUAAGACCAAAGAUUUAUCGCCCAAGGAUGAGCCCGCGUAGGAUUAGCUAGUUGGUGGGGUAAAGGCCUACCAAGGCGACGAUCCUUAGCCGGUCUGAGAGGAUGAUCAGCCACACUGGGACUGAGACACGGCCCAGACUCCUACGGGAGGCAGCAGUGGGGAAUAUUGGACAAUGGGCGAAAGCCUGAUCCAGCAAUGCCGCGUGAGUGAUGAAGGCCUUAGGGUUGUAAAGCUCUUUUACCCGGGAUGAUAAUGACAGUACCGGGAGAAUAAGCUCCGGCUAACUUCGUG
RNAcentral lists this ribosomal RNA (433 nucleotides) under uncultured bacterium. Its description in RNAcentral is "partial 16S ribosomal RNA". It matches the Rfam family "Bacterial small subunit ribosomal RNA", at positions 29 to 507 of the family's 1533-position model. The record is from RNAcentral.